Molecule: long non-coding RNA, 443 nt
Filed under: Olea europaea subsp. europaea
Lineage: Eukaryota; Viridiplantae; Streptophyta; Magnoliopsida; Lamiales; Oleaceae
Source: RNAcentral
AUUCCUUUCCAUUCAUUUAUAGCUUCAAUAGGCCAACCAAAAAGAAUUAUUAGCCUUUGACAAGAGACCAGAUUAUUGUUGUGAAAACUUGCAAAAAAAGAAAAAUUUCACCCAACUAAUCAGCCUCUCUUUGUAGUCAAAGUGCCGAGUGAAGUUUACUUUUCCACUUGUCAUUUCUUUCAAAAUUCCAUUUUUGCUUUGCUCUGGGGGCGAAUGGAGCAUCAGAUUCCACUUUCCAUUUCAUUCGAAAUGCCGAGCUCCUUAUUUACCCAUUCUUCUCGCGUAUAAAGAACCAUACUACCAGCUAAUCAGCCUCUCGUUGAGUCAAUUGUCUGUGUGUGUGUGUAUAGUUUCCGAACAUCAAGAUUUUCUGCUGGGAUUUUGGUGGCGAAUUUUAGGGUUCUUCAUGGAUUUGGGGGUGAAUUUGGGUUUCAAUUUGGAAC